This is a long non-coding RNA of Pundamilia nyererei, 618 nucleotides long. RefSeq lists it as uncharacterized. Lineage: Eukaryota; Metazoa; Chordata; Actinopteri; Cichliformes; Cichlidae. The transcript has 3 exons. The record is from RefSeq and is a predicted model, not a curated record.
GAGAGCAGUAUGACCGAGCAAAGAGACUUCAGGAUAAAAUGGUCACCAACCUCACCAUGGCAAAAGACAGGCUUACCCUUUUAGAGACGACACUAGCCUCUAAAAGGAGAAAUGACCCCCAAGGGACAUCACGUCAUGCUCUUCCACAGCCAAAGUCAGCUCCUAAAAGUCAACCCGCAGGUGUUUCCACCACCAUCAGACCCUCCAGUCCUGUAAGACCUUCAUUAAGACUAACUGAUGCAAAGGAACUUGACUGACACCUGUGCUUUGCCUGUGUGCAGAAGAAGAACAAGGACCAGAUUUCCAGUCUUCUCUCUCACAUCCCAACCCCUCUAUCCUCUGUCCUUCUCCACAUGUUCUCUCUGCCUUCUUUCCAUCUGUAUUUCACCCUGUGGUUUGUGCGAAAUUGUGCCAAACUAAGAAUCUUAUUGCGGUUUGAUUUAAAGCCGUUUCUCUCCUGCUCUGUCUGUUCUCUCUUCUAAAUUUUCUCUCUACUUGUUUUUCAUUCUGGGCUUGCUGCUAAGUUGUGCCAAGCCUAUAAAGAGAGUGCAUAAUAUUCUCUCAACUGAAGAACAAACUGUCAAACGAAAGACAACUGUUUCAGACAAAUAAAAACAA